RNAcentral lists this ribosomal RNA (494 nucleotides) under uncultured bacterium. Its description in RNAcentral is "partial 16S ribosomal RNA". It matches the Rfam family "Bacterial small subunit ribosomal RNA", at positions 28 to 507 of the family's 1533-position model. The record is from RNAcentral.
GACGAACGCUGGCGGCGUGCUUAACACAUGCAAGUCGAACGGAAAGGCCUGCUUUCCCUUGUGGAUUGCGAGUACUCGAGUGGCGAACGGGGGAGUAACACGUGAGUGAUCUGCCCCCAACUUGGGUAUAAGCCUGGGAAACUGGGUCUAAUUCCCGAUAGGACUGCAGGGUGGUGCAUGAGGUGGAAAACGAUUUUUUAGUGGAUGGGGAUGAGCUCGCGGCCUAUCAGCUAGUUGGUGGGGUAAUGGCCUACCAAGGCGGCGACGGGUAGCCGGGGUGAGGGUGUGUACGCGGACAUUGAGACUGAGAUGCGACAUAGGCUCCUACGGACGGCAGAAGUGCGGACUGGUGGACGAUGUGGGGAAUACUGCUGCAUCGACGCAGCGUGGAUGAUGACAGGCUUCGUGUUGUAAGCUCCUUUCGGCCGCGUGGAGGCCUCCUGGAUGGGAGGAUAAUGACGGUAGUAUAGGAGAAAGCCCCGGCUAACUACGUG